UUAGAUAGAGCCUCUCCAUGAAAGUGAUU
This 29-nucleotide non-coding RNA is filed under the name Rattus norvegicus (Norway rat). Lineage: Eukaryota; Metazoa; Chordata; Mammalia; Rodentia; Muridae. The record is from RNAcentral.